This 581-nucleotide small RNA is filed under the name Pongo abelii (Sumatran orangutan). Its description in RNAcentral is "retained intron". Lineage: Eukaryota; Metazoa; Chordata; Mammalia; Primates; Hominidae. The record is from RNAcentral.
AUAUGUACACACGGCUGAGCACCUUCCAGAUUUUGCUGCAGUUCCCAGUGUGGACUCACUCACCAUGUGGCUUUACAUUCAAGUCCCUUUUCCCUCUGUGAUUUCUUGCCCGUCCCCUCCCUCCCUCCUGCUGCGACUGUGGGACUGUGGCCCAGGGGUGGACAUGAUCAGUAAGAUGCUGAAGAUGCAGAUGUUGGAGGAUGAGGACGACCUGGCCUAUGCAGAGACCGAGAAGAAGACGAGGACAGACUCUACAUCCGACGGGCGCCCUGCCUGGAUGCGGACGCUGCACACCACCGCGUCCAACUGGCUCCACCUCAUCCCCCAGACGCUGAGCCACCUCAAGCGCACUGUGGAGAAUAUCAAGGAUCCUCUGUUCAGGUUCUUUGAGAGAGAAGUGAAGAUGGGUGCGAAGCUGCUUCAGGACGUUCGCCAGGACCUUGCGGAUGUCGUCCAGGUGUGCGAAGGAAAGAAGAAGCAGACCAACUACUUGCGCACGCUGAUCAACGAGCUGGUGAAAGGUGCGUGAGAGGCCGAACUCGUGGUGUGGCCUCCGGCGGGCACCUUGGCCUGGGGCCACG